ACGCUGUCGGCGUGCUUAACACAUGCAAGUCGAACGGAAAGGCCCUGCUUUUGUGGGGUGCUCGAGUGGCGAACGGGUGAGUAACACGUGAGUAACCUGCCCUUGACUUUGGGAUAACUUCAGGAAACUGGGGCUAAUACCGGAUAGGAGCUCCUGCUGCAUGGUGGGGGUUGGAAAGUUUCGGCGGUUGGGGACGGACUCGCGGCUUAUCAGCUUGUUGGUGGGGUAGUGGCUUACCAAGGCUUUGACGGGUAGCCGGCCUGAGAGGGUGACCGGCCACAUUGGGACUGAGAUACGGCCCAGACUCCUACGGGAGGCAGCAGUGGGGAAUAUUGCACAAUGGGCGGAAGCCUGAUGCAGCAACGCCGCGUGCGGGAUGACGGCCUUCGGGUUGUAAACCGCUUUCGCCUGUGACGAAGCGUGAGUGACGGUAAUGGGUAAAGAAGCACCGGCUAACUACGUGCCAGCAGCCGCGGUGAUACGUAGGGUGCGAGCGUUGUCCGGAUUUAUUGGGCGUAAAGGGCUCGUAGGUGGUUGAUCGCGUCGGAAGUGUAAUCUUGGGGCUUAACCCUGAGCGUGCUUUCGAUACGGGUUGACUUGAGGAAGGUAGGGGAGAAUGGAAUUCCUGGUGGAGCGGUGGAAUGCGCAGAUAUCAGGAGGAACACCAGUGGCGAAGGCGGUUCUCUGGGCCUUUCCUGACGCUGAGGAGCGAAAGCGUGGGGAGCGAACAGGCUUAGAUACCCUGGUAGUCCACGCUGUAAACGGUGGGUACUAGGUGUGGGGUCCAUUCCACGGGUUCCGUGCCGUAGCUAACGCUUUAAGUACCCCGCCUGGGGAGUACGGCCGCAAGGCUAAAACUCAAAGGAAUUGACGGGGCCCCGCACAAGCGGCGGAGCAUGCGGAUUAAUUCGAUGCAACGCGUAGAACCUUACCUGGGUUUGACAUGGAUCGGGAGUGCUCAGAGAUGGGUGUGCCUCUUUUGGGGUCGGUUCACAGGUGGUGCAUGGCUGUCGUCAGCUCGUGUCGUGAGAUGUUGGGUUAAGUCCCGCAACGAGCGCAACCCUUGUUCACUGUUGCCAGCACGUUAUGGUGGGGACUCAGUGGAGACCGCCGGGGUCAACUCGGAGGAAGGUGGGGAUGACGUCAAGUCAUCAUGCCCCUUAUGUCCAGGGCUUCACGCAUGCUACAAUGGCUGGUACAGAGAGUGGCGAGCCUGUGAGGGUGAGCGAAUCUCGGAAAGCCGGUCUCAGUUCGGAUUGGGGUCUGCAACUCGACCUCAUGAAGUCGGAGUCGCUAGUAAUCGCAGAUCAGCAACGCUGCGGUGAAUACGUUCCCGGGGCUUGUACACACCGCCCGUCAAGUCAUGAAAGUUGGUAACACCCGAAGCCGGUGGCCUAACCGUUGUGGGGGAGCCGUCGAAGGUGGGACUGGUG
RNAcentral lists this ribosomal RNA (1433 nucleotides) under uncultured organism. RNAcentral's name for it is "16S ribosomal RNA". It matches the Rfam family "Bacterial small subunit ribosomal RNA". The record is from RNAcentral.